Molecule: long non-coding RNA, 234 nt
Filed under: Arachis ipaensis
Lineage: Eukaryota; Viridiplantae; Streptophyta; Magnoliopsida; Fabales; Fabaceae
Description: long non-coding RNA (AIPA_LNC002414)
Source: RNAcentral
UGCACAUCAUCAUCUUCCUGUUCGGAAACCUCACCAUCCUCUUCGUCAUCCUGUUCACUGUCUUCAAGGUCAUCCUCCAUAUCUUCAAGAUCAUCCUCCAUAUCUUCAAGAUCAUCCUCCUCAUCACUCUCACCAGUCUUGGUAUCAGAACUUAUCUCAUCAUCAUCAUUGAUAGUCAUCAGAUCAUUUUCCUGGUCAUUGUCAAAGCCACUGCCUACAGAAUCAUCGGAAUCA